UACGAAGGGGGCUAGCGUUGUUCGGAUUUACUGGGCGUAAAGCGCACGUAGGCGGGUCGUUAAGCCAGGGGUGAAAUCCCGGAGCUCAACUCCGGAACUGCCUUUGAUACUGGCGACCUUGAGGCUGGAAGAGGUUAGUGGAAUUCCCAGUGUAGAGGUGAAAUUCGUAGAUAUUGGGAGGAACACCAGUGGCGAAGGCGGCUCACUGGACUGGUACUGACGCUGAUGCGCGAAAGCGUGGGGAGCAAACAGG
RNAcentral lists this ribosomal RNA (253 nucleotides) under uncultured bacterium. RNAcentral describes it as "partial 16S ribosomal RNA". It matches the Rfam family "Bacterial small subunit ribosomal RNA", at positions 524 to 776 of the family's 1533-position model. The record is from RNAcentral.